Long non-coding RNA from Psammomys obesus (fat sand rat), 641 nucleotides. RefSeq lists it as uncharacterized. The record is from RefSeq and is a predicted model, not a curated record. The transcript has 3 exons. Lineage: Eukaryota; Metazoa; Chordata; Mammalia; Rodentia; Muridae.
UUUCCUCUCAGGUGCUGCGUACUGCUCUCUGGAGAAGGUUUGCGUUGGUGACUUCAGGGCAGGGCGAGCUGUGCCUGACUCCCCUGGUGGAUGGAGAGGCAGGAGGAUGUAUUCCCAGAGGUUCCAAAUGAUUUCCUGCCAGUCUGUCGUUUGUUCCUGACUCUCUUACGGAAGUCUAGCCUCAGCCCUCCUGCAGCUUUCAUCUUUCCAGCACUGCUCUCCAUUCCAGAAGUGCCGCGUGGAUCCUGGCCUUCUCCUCACCCUCUCUGUCUCACUUCUGGAGCCAUCUCUCAAGACUCGAGGGGCCCUGCCUCCUGCACGGAGCACCCAAGGGUUAUCAAAAGAAGGUCAGGAUGUAGUUUGUGUCAGGACAUUACCUAAGACAUACACCACAGAGAAGCUUCUCAAAAGAGAUACGACUCACCCGCAUCAAGCCAAAGAGGACCCGGGACCCUCAGCUUGUUCAAGUCCAGAUUCCUCCCAAUGCCUUGCUCACCAACUAAGAGGAGAUUCAGGGAUCUCUCCAUCCAAAAGAGUCCUCAGUAAAUUCUGACGUGGAGAAAGUUCUGAAGAUCACCAUUGAGAUAUCAAAAAAACAGGAAUACAAAUAAUAAAAGCACAGGUAUAGUUAUUCUUUUUUU